RNAcentral lists this ribosomal RNA (491 nucleotides) under uncultured bacterium. Its description in RNAcentral is "partial 16S ribosomal RNA". It matches the Rfam family "Bacterial small subunit ribosomal RNA", at positions 29 to 507 of the family's 1533-position model. The record is from RNAcentral.
AGUGAACGCUGGCGGUAGGCCUAACACAUGCAAGUCGAACGGCAGCACAGUAAGAGCUUGCUCUUACGGGUGGCGAGUGGCGGACGGGUGAGGAUACAUCGGAAUCUACUUUUUCGUGGGGGAUAACGUAGGGAAACUUACGCUAAUACCGCAUACGACCUACGGGUGAAAGCAGGGGAUCUUCGGACCUUGCGCGAUUGAAUGAGCCGAUGUCGGAUUAGCUAGUUGGCGGGGUAAAGGCCCACCAAGUCGACGAUCCGUAGCUGGUCUGAGAGGAUGAUCAGCCACACUGGAACUGAGACACGGUCCAGACUCCUACGGGAGGCAGCAGUGGGGAAUAUUGGACAAUGGGCGCAAGCCUGAUCCAGCCAUACCGCGUGGGUGAAGAAGGCCUUCGGGUUGUAAAGCCCUUUUGUUGGGAAAGAAAAGCAGCAGGUUAAUACCCCGCUGUUCUGACGGUACCCAAAGAAUAAGCACCGGCUAACUUCGUG